UAUUUAUUUAGCACCUCAUAGCCACAGCGUGAAUAAAUGCUUUUUGUUACUGCUUUCAUCCGUGUCACCUCUGUGGCUGAAACGAUGCAGUUGGAGUGCUGAAAAACAGUGAUCGGGCUGAGAAAUGUAAGAUUACGGAGCCUCAGGUGCAGUUUCACCCUUCAGGUCUGCUGAUGCUACUUUACAGCCGUUUUCUCUCUUCCCAUUCCUUGCAGUGUGACCCCAGCCCCGCUCACACAGGGCUGCUCCUCAGGUGGGUUUGAGCGCCGAUACACCGUUCACUGUCCCACCUCACAGGUAACGACUACCAUACCCCACAGAAACGAAAAUAAACAUUCACGCUGCGAACAAGACAUCGAUCUUAUUAGCCCCCACCCACUCCAGGGCAGCCUUUACCCAGCCCAGCAGGCCUCGGCAGCCGGCUGAGGCGCGGCCGCGAGCGGGGCUGAGAGCAAGGGCGCGCGCGGACGGCCCCGCGGCGGGAGCGACGCCUGAGAGGCUGCGGGCGCCGCCAUCUUGUCUCCACAGCCGGCUGCUCCCCCCAGUGCAAGUGAAGCAGCCCCGCCAGCUCCCUCCUCCUUAUCCUCCUCCGACCCUCUCCUCCUCCUCAUCCCUCCCACUCCACUCAGCCGUAGCCGCCGGUCAGAAAGGGGGCAGCGUGGAAACUAAGGCCGCGGGGCGGGGAAGGGAAGGGAGGAGGGGGGGGAACCGGAGAGCCGUGUGUGGGGGGGCGGGCGGGCUGCGGGGUGCCAGCACCCGGGGCUCGUCCCUCCCGCGGGGCUCGUCCCUUUUGGGGGGGCCUUCCCUGCCUGGGGGCUUGUGCCAGCCCGGGGGGUUGUCCCUUUUUUGGGGACUUGUCCCUCCCUGGGGCCGGCAGCCCCUCCGCUCGCCCCCGGUGCCCCCUUGGCGGUGUCAGCUCGGGGGGGGGGCCGGGCUGCGCUCUCGAUGGGAUAAGCUGUAACAUGUUCAGCUUUGAAAGGGGAUUUCAAAACAAGGCCCAAGGUGUCCCUCGGAGGAGCGAGUAGGAAGGAGGAAAAGGCUUCUCUCCUGCAUCGCACUCAGGAAGAAAGGCGAAAACGAGAGG
This is a long non-coding RNA of Cygnus olor (mute swan), 1084 nucleotides long. RefSeq lists it as uncharacterized. The record is from RefSeq and is a predicted model, not a curated record. NCBI's taxonomy places the organism in Eukaryota, Metazoa, Chordata, Aves, Anseriformes, Anatidae. The transcript is spliced from 2 exons.